Molecule: unclassified non-coding RNA, 77 nt
Filed under: Batrachochytrium dendrobatidis
Lineage: Eukaryota; Fungi; Chytridiomycota; Chytridiomycetes; Rhizophydiales
Description: partial ITS1
Source: RNAcentral
AGUCGAACAAAAUUUAUUUAUUUUUUAGACAAAUUAAUUGGAAAUUGAAUAAUUUAAUUGAAAAUAAAUAUUAAAAA